Molecule: long non-coding RNA, 733 nt
Filed under: Lactuca sativa (garden lettuce)
Lineage: Eukaryota; Viridiplantae; Streptophyta; Magnoliopsida; Asterales; Asteraceae
Description: long non-coding RNA (LSAT_LNC004605)
Source: RNAcentral
CGAUGUUACCCUAAUCUCAUCUACAGACAACAGCCACCAUCAAACCACUACUCACUGCCACCACAUGGCCACAACCUCCUAAAGACGUCACCUCCAUUUCUUCAUGUUCUUGACUAGGGAUGCUCCAUAUUCGAAUUGACGAGGCCUGUUGUUUCUCUGGGUUUACGAUUUCCAAGAUUUCUGUACAAUUUACCCAAAUUUUGUUAAUCUCUCCUCCGAUCGAGCCCCACCGUAUAUAAUAUACACCGACUGAAAGUCGGCCAUGGGCCCGGGUAUAACGAGCAGUAACCGCGUCGCCGAUGGAGAUGCGGGUGGAGGAAGUAUUUGCACUGAGAAAAUGGCAUCGGUGAGUUUGUUCCAAAACCCUUGAACCGAUUUCCUUCCAAAACCCUUCAAAUUAGUGAUUUUAAACUUUAUUAUUGAAGUUUUGAAGCACAAGAGUUCGAUUCAGGCCUUGUCGAGACGAUUCUUUCUUCAAAGCUUUUGUAUACUGUAUAGAUUUAUUAUCUCAUGAUGUAAGUAAAAAAAACCGUAAAUUUUUUUAUUUGAAAGGGUUGGUGUUUUUGCGUCUUGUUACAAUGUAAAGUUUUGUUAUGAAAAUGUUCGUUUGACUAUCGUGGUCGGUCAUAGCAUUUGUUGAAUUUAUUGGUAAUGUGUGUUUUACAAAUUAAACACUUACAUGCUACAAAUUUAUUCAAGUUCCAAAAAGUUGCAAUAAAUCCAUGUAUAUUUU